GACGAACGCUGGCGGCGUGCUUAACACAUGCAAGUCGAACGAUGAAGCCCAGCUUGCUGGGUGGAUUAGUGGCGAACGGGUGAGUAACACGUGAGUAACCUGCCCUUGACUCUGGGAUAAGCGCUGGAAACGGCGUCUAAUACCGGAUACGACCUGCCCCGGCAUCGGGUGCGGGUGGAAAGUUUUUCGGUCAAGGAUGGACUCGCGGCCUAUCAGCUAGUUGGUGAGGUAAUGGCUCACCAAGGCGACGACGGGUAGCCGGCCUGAGAGGGUGACCGGCCACACUGGGACUGAGACACGGCCCAGACUCCUACGGGAGGCAGCAGUGGGGAAUAUUGCACAAUGGGCGAAAGCCUGAUGCAGCAACGCCGCGUGGGGGAUGACGGCCUUCGGGUUGUAAACCUCUUUUAGUAGGGAAGAAGGGCUUCGGCUUGACGGUACCUGCAGAAAAAGCACCGGCUAACUACGUGCCAGCAGCCGCCGCGG
RNAcentral lists this ribosomal RNA (486 nucleotides) under uncultured bacterium. Its description in RNAcentral is "partial 16S ribosomal RNA". It matches the Rfam family "Bacterial small subunit ribosomal RNA", at positions 28 to 523 of the family's 1533-position model. The record is from RNAcentral.